RNAcentral lists this ribosomal RNA (1680 nucleotides) under Triticum aestivum (bread wheat). RNAcentral describes it as "partial small subunit ribosomal RNA". The record is from RNAcentral. Lineage: Eukaryota; Viridiplantae; Streptophyta; Magnoliopsida; Poales; Poaceae.
AUGUUACAACUACCCGUCCACCUGUCCUUCAUGCACGGCCACUACUGGGAGGGCAUGAAGGCCAACUGGAUCAUCCUCAUCCACCAAUCCGGUAGUUCGUGGUGUCUCGUGGAUAUCUACACCCAGCGAGAGAUCACCCUUCCAUCAUUGGAUACCGCCGCCAUCGAGCCUCGCUGCCCGCCGGACACUCCUGCCUACUACGCACGAGACGCAUCAAGCUUUUGGCUCAACCUCUGUUUGCAGAAAGUUGUAAUCUGUGAAGUGCCCACACCAUCAGAAGACUACAUGGAUUACAAGCUCAUUGCCUUGUUCAACAUGGGAUUAGUCUAUCUGGAAUUCGGUCACCAUACAUGGUUAUGGCGCAUCAUCAAUCCUAUUGAGGCAACAUUUCUGUCUGAUGCUAUAGUGCAUGAUGGCAUCGUUUACGCGGUCGACGCACAGAUUGGUUGCCUAUACUGCAGACGCAAAUGCGCCGGCCUUCAUGAUUCCAGGACCUGGAAUCAUACCAGCCGAUGGUACAAUGCGUGGGGCGUUUGUGACAUUGAUGGCUAUGGCUGCUUCAUGUUCAAGAAAGAUCCUAGCUCCGUUGGGCCAGGCGUAUUCAACUGGAAGUGGGUUUACAGCCUCGGCAACCACUCCUUGUUCCUCGGGCUCGAUUAUUCGAUCAUCCAACCAAUCAUCGAUCAUACCACCGGCAAUGAUUACCGUGCUAUGCAACUUCCAUUCACGUGGGGGGACUGUGUUUACACAUCAUACCAUGGGUUUCAUGAAUCACCAUAUCAAGAGAUUCAUCGACACAGCUUGUUGCCAGAUAAUCUUCAGUGUGUGAAAGGCAUCAAGCUUCCAUGCGAUGGAUUGCUUUUGCAAACCCGACAUGCGGCGAUGUGGUUCAUGCCAACAGCAAAUAUGCACAACUUGAUUCUACCAUAUAACUGGAAUUACCGAUGCAAGUCGAAGAAGGAUUGGCCGGUGCUGCCGGCUGGCGUCAAGUUCGAUCCCACGGAUCAGGAGCUGAUCGAGCACCUUGAGGCCAAAGUGAGUGCUGACAGCAUGAGAUUUCAGUCUCUCAUCGAUUUGUUCAUACCAACCAUCGACAGCGAGCACGGCAUAUGCUACACCCAACCUGAGAAACUUCCAGGUAUCACACUGAGUGGCCUAAGGAAGCAUUUCUUCCAGCGCAAUUCUAGGGCGUUCAAAAGGGGCAUGUGGACGCGUCGCAAGAUACAAUCGGAGUGCGGCAUGCACGCGAUGUGGCACAAGACCGGCAAUACCUUGUCGGUGAUGGUCAACGGCCGGCUGGCGGGCAGCAAAAAAGUUGUACUACCUUGUCGUCCGCAAGUUGGUAUUGUUGUUAACAAUCUUUUGGUCCAGCCCAUGACGACAACAGGGCACAAAGAUCCAGCAGCCGACCAGCUUCAUGGUGCCCGGAGCGCCUCUGGAGUUCGUCUUCCCUUCCUUGCUACUCUGCUCUCAUUAGGGAAGGACGGAUCCAUUCACCCUCUCGCCCGGCAUCGCUCGGUGAAUAAGACAGACGAAAUUGAUGUGCGCUUCCUCUCCUUUCGCCCAACGAAGGCGGAAGAUGCAAACGGUGGCUCCUCACCUAGCCGUGCGGUGAUGGAUUCAAUGGAGAAGAGGAAGCAUGUUCCCUCCAUUACCUGGUUAGUUGUCAAUGCUCACUAA